This 487-nucleotide ribosomal RNA is filed under the name uncultured bacterium. RNAcentral describes it as "bacterial SSU rRNA". It matches the Rfam family "Bacterial small subunit ribosomal RNA", at positions 28 to 504 of the family's 1533-position model. The record is from RNAcentral.
GAUGAACGCUAGCGAUAGGCCUAACACAUGCAAGUCGAGGGGCAGCACAUGAAGUAGCAAUACGGAUGGUGGCGACCGGCGCACGGGUGAGUAACGCGUAUGCAACCUACCUACAACAGGGGAAUAACCCGUUGAAAGACGGACUAAUACCCCAUAAUACAGGGGUCCCGCAUGGGAAUAUUUGUUAAAGAUUUAUCGGUUGUAGAUGGGCAUGCGUUCCAUUAGCUAGUUGGUGAGGUAACGGCUCACCAAAGCAACGAUGGAUAGGGGAACUGAGAGGUUUAUCCCCCACACUGGUACUGAGACACGGACCAGACUCCUACGGGAGGCAGCAGUGAGGAAUAUUGGUCAAUGGACGCAAGUCUGAACCAGCCACGUCGCGUGAAGGAAGACGGCCCUAUGGGUUGUAAACUUCUUUUGUAAGGGAAUAAAGUGCAGUACGUGUACUGUUUUGCAUGUACCUUACGAAUAAGGAUCGGCUAACUCC